Long non-coding RNA from Drosophila montana, 721 nucleotides. RefSeq lists it as uncharacterized. The record is from RefSeq and is a predicted model, not a curated record. The transcript is spliced from 3 exons. Lineage: Eukaryota; Metazoa; Arthropoda; Insecta; Diptera; Drosophilidae.
ACCUUUAAAAAUAAAAGAGUAUGAGCUGGCACUGAAAAUGUGUCAUAAAGUUUGCUCGCUUUUAUCCUGCAAAUGACAUGUACUUAAAUUCUAAGCGACUAAACUAAGAACACAAGAGAUGUACAACUAAAGAGCAGAGCGCCGACAAGUGCCACAGGGGAAGGCACCUCAAAAACUUGAGAACAAAAUUAAAUCAUUUCAAAAUCCAAUCAAAUCGAAGCCGGCAUCAAUUUUUCAUGGCGCAAAAACGCUGUAAAAGCAAACUGAAAUACCAAUGAAAAAUUAUGAGCCAUGUGGCUCAACAUCAAAACUGUCGACAAUAACAAUAACAAACAAAGUUGUGGGCAACCCUUUGGCACUGCAAUCGACCAGGACGAUCCAAUAGCCAAGUGGCCAUUGAUGCGUUAAAUAAAAACUUCAACUAAAUAUUUCCCAAAAGCAAAAACAGGCGAAUUUCCAAGCGGGCAGCAGGCGAUGACCCAAAGUGAUGCAAAGUUUCCAUAAGAAACAAAAAAUGGAAGACAACAAUGCGGGCGGAGGGGUGCUUCAAGCAAUGUUGGCCAAGUAAAAGCCAGCAGCUAACCAGUGGAAAAAUAAUCUCAAGUCGCAAGCCAACGACUUGGCUAUGCCCUAGAUUAUGUCUAGGGUUAAAAGCUAAGGACCAAAUUGAAGAUAUACUCAUAAAUUACGUUCAAGCAGCAGAUCAUUCCAAAAAAGGUAA